AGUGAACGCUGGCGGUAGGCCUAACACAUGCAAGUCGAACGGCAGCACAGUAAGAGCUUGCUCUUACGGGUGGCGAGUGGCGGACGGGUGAGGAAUACAUCGGAAUCUACUUUUUCGUGGGGGAUAGCGUAGGGAAACUUACGCUAAUACCGCAUACGACCUACGGGUGAAAGCAGGGGAGCUUCGGACCUUGCGCGAUUGAAUGAGCCGAUGUCGGAUUAGCUAGUUGGCGGGGUAAAGGCCCACCAAGGCGACGAUCCGUAGCUGGUCUGAGAGGAUGAUCAGCCACACUGGAACUGAGACACGGUCCAGACUCCUACGGGAGGCAGCAGUGGGGAAUAUUGGACAAUGGGCGCAAGCCUGAUCCAGCCAUACCGCGUGAGUGAAGAAGGCCUUCGGGUUGUAAAGCCCUUUUGUUGGGAAAGAAAAGCAGCAGGUGAAUCCCUCGCUGUUCUGACGGUACCCAAAGAAUAAGCACCGGCUAACUUCGUG
This 492-nucleotide ribosomal RNA is filed under the name uncultured bacterium. RNAcentral's name for it is "partial 16S ribosomal RNA". It matches the Rfam family "Bacterial small subunit ribosomal RNA", at positions 29 to 507 of the family's 1533-position model. The record is from RNAcentral.